CCCCUGGCUGCCCCCUUAACAAGGAUCUUAAAAUGGAGGCCCUCCCCACCCCCAGCCUUUGCACAUGCAGAGACACAGACACAUGUGUGCUGACACACCCACGCUGGUUCUCUCUGCAGCAGGGACUCUGCAUGCCUGGUCUCCUUACACAUUUCUGAGGGUAGGACCUUCACCUCUCCCAGGACCCAUGCCUGGUGACUGGCACUGUCCCUUGGUGGAGUGGACAGAGAGCACGGCAAGUACUCCACCUGACUGGCCAAGGGUUGGUACAGCGCUGGGUCAACUUCUCUCCUGGCCUGGCCCCUUCAUGCCUCACUGGAGGCUGAUCAGAGUCCCUGAUGGUCAAAGGGUUUUUUCCCACGGGGACAUCUUGGCUGCAGGAGCUCCCCUGUGACCCCAGAAGGCAAGGGAUGCUCUGCCCGCCCUGACACCCUGUGGCCAUGAGGGACAUGUGACCACAUGCACGUGUGGAGUUCAGGUUCUAGCAGCGCUCGGCCAGCACCGACACGCCCACCGUCACCUCGGACAUCGGCUCUUCAGCUGCCCGCAUCAGCACGAUCUGGAUGACUCGGCCCUCGUAGAUGUGGGCGUCGAAUGUGGACUUCCACUCAGGGUACAUGGUGGGCUUCUUCUGCACCAGCGUCUUCCCGCGCUCUGCGACAUGGCCAGGCAGGCAAGGCCCUCCCGAGGAUAUUUCCACUCCUCGGACUUCACAACUAUGCUCUGCUCCCCUCUCCAGCCUCGUGUCAUUUAUAACACACUCCAUAACACAGAACUCCCCACAGCUCUUCUAGGAUGCCCUGCUUGGUCCCACCUCCAGGCCUCUGCUCUGGCCGCUGCCUCGUCCUGUGACCUCUUCUGUCAGCCCCACUUAGCUGUCACCCCCCUCACGCACUCACUCAGUGAACACACACCGAGGCCCCUCGUGCCAGCCAUGACACUGAAGGUGAGGAACACGGAAGAAAGAGAAGUUAAAACCAGUGUCGGCCUGUCCCCCUAGAUCCCAGUCCAGGACAGAGAUACGAACCCAUUAAUCCCUCAAAUAAAUGUUAAAUCACAGCUGUGAUGAGACUGAAGAGGGCAGGGCCAGGGUUCUAGACCUGGUCUGGAUCAUGGACAGGUGGUAUGUCCCAGGCUAAGGGUCAGGGAAUGCUUCCUGGAAGAAGAGACAGCUCCGCUAAGACCUAAGGGAUGAGCCAGGGAUUCAGCAGGUGAGGGCAAUAGCAAGAAGGAAUGGUGUGAGAUAUUUGCCUCUUGCAGGAAGACCUCCCAGACCUCAGCCUGGGACAGUGCCUCCUAUGGGCUUCCCUAUCACAGGACUCAUUGUCUGGCUCCCACAUCUCACCGUGAGCCCCAUGAGGACAGGGCCAAGUCAGCCCUGGAGCAUGGCAGUGUCCUCAAUGCCCAGCACAGGGUCUGACAUGAGGAAAUUGUUGGGAGAAACCACCAAUGGGGGAGGAGCCAGAAACCCAUUCCCCCACCCCCACCCCUGGUGAUGGCUCCAUGUAGUAAGUGCUAGAGGCCCUAUGCGCACUCGGUGGCCUCUACGGUCCUGCAUCCACAGCUGGGCUGGGCAGGGAGAUGAGCGUGAGGAAGAGAAAGAUCCCUCAGAAGUUCUAGGGGAACAAGGCACAGGUCCUCCAGGCCUCCCCCUGGGCCCUGAUCCCAGUCCUACCUGUGCUGAGUGCCUCCUUCAUCUUCACGGCACAGAAGGGCUGGCUGGCCUCAUCGGCGGCCUGCAGGGAGCCCAGCUCAUAGGAGGUGAAGGCGAUGCGCAGGAACGGGGCCAUGUCAGGGCCUGCAGUGGGGCUGUACAGACAGCAGAGGGGAAGCUGGGCAGUGAGGGACAGCCCUGGGAGGUGCUCGGGUGCCCCCGGGGGCUCUCACCACAUUGAAUUUGGCCCACAUGAUGUGCUGACGAGACACUAGUUCUAGCUGCCACUGUUAAACCUGAGAAAUUCUACGAAAGUCUGGAUUUGUGGCAUCUCUGGUGAAACUGCUGAAUGUGACAUCAAGCCCACUGGGUAGUAGCUGGCUGGUACUACCUCCUUUGUUGAGUACCUGCCAGUCUACGCCAGGCCAGGGGCCCCCUCUUCACUCCUCUCCAAAACCUACCUGGGCCCUGGAGGCAUGUGACUCACUUAUUUGGGGAUCCUUUAAGGCCUCCUUUAACACCCCACGCUGGGUGCUUCCUACGGGCUGAGUACCUAGUCCGUGCUGGCCAAGAGAGGCAGGACAGUACCCCCGCCUCCCUGCACCCUGCUCCUUGCAGCUCUUCUUGGUUUGCAAAGUAUGCUUAUAACUCCCCAAGCAAACAGGGCCAAGAUGACCACCUCCACUUUUCUGACUGAGAAACAGAAACCCUGAGGCUGAGCCAGAACCUAAAGCUGAGAUUGCACUAACUAAGCAUCCACUCCAUUCAGGGACCACCCACCUGCAUCCCUGACCUUCUGAAUCCAAGCCCCUUGGGUUCAGGUGCCUCUCACCUACAGAGGUUGCCUGCACCUUCAAACUAACUUUUUCCAAACAUAAAACUAUUUUAAUGU
Long non-coding RNA from Canis lupus familiaris (dog), 2546 nucleotides. RefSeq lists it as uncharacterized. The transcript has 3 exons. Lineage: Eukaryota; Metazoa; Chordata; Mammalia; Carnivora; Canidae. The record is from RefSeq and is a predicted model, not a curated record.